This 221-nucleotide non-coding RNA is filed under the name unclassified sequences. RNAcentral's name for it is "RT-2 RNA". It matches the Rfam family "RT-2 RNA". Rfam says of the family: Coriobacteriales (Actinobacteria), Clostridiales (Firmicutes). Downstream gene The record is from Rfam by way of RNAcentral.
UCCAUGCAGACCUAGUAACCGCAAGGCGGCGAAAGCAGACAGGAAGGAGAGAAGGAGCAUAUAACCUUCCGAAAGGUAAAUAUAUGCCUUGAUAGGUCCGGGCGGACGCUUCUUGCAUGGCGGUGCUUGAUGGUAAUGCGCCGUUUCAUGCCCGUUGACCUUGCGCUGCGGUUGCAACCAUCUAUCAGCAGUACGGGGCAAGGAGAAAACUAUGACCAGUG